GACGAACGCUGGCGGCGUGCUUAACACAUGCAAGUCGAACGGAAAGGCCCUGCUUUUGUGGGGUGCUCGAGUGGCGAACGGGUGAGUAACACGUGAGUAACCUGCCCUUGACUUUGGGAUAACUUCAGGAAACUGGGGCUAAUACCGGAUAGCAGCUCCCGCUGCAUGGUGGGGGUUGGAAAGUCUCGGCGGUUGGGGAUGGAUUCGCGGCUUAUCAGCUAGUUGGUGGGGUAGUGGCUUACCAAGGCUUUGACGGGUAGCCGGCCUGGGAGGGUGACCGGCGACAUUGGGACUGAGAGACGGCCCAGACUCCUACGGGAGGCAGCAGUGGGGAGUAUUGCACAAUGAGAGGAAGCCUGAUGCAGCGACGCCGCGUGCGGGAUGACGGCCUUCGGGUUGUAAACCGCUUUCGCCUGUGACGAAGCGGGAGUGACGGUAAUGGGUAAAGAAGCACCGGCUAACUACGUG
Molecule: ribosomal RNA, 468 nt
Filed under: uncultured bacterium
Lineage: Bacteria
Description: partial 16S ribosomal RNA
Rfam family: Bacterial small subunit ribosomal RNA
Source: RNAcentral